This 460-nucleotide ribosomal RNA is filed under the name uncultured bacterium. RNAcentral describes it as "partial 16S ribosomal RNA". It matches the Rfam family "Bacterial small subunit ribosomal RNA", at positions 338 to 795 of the family's 1533-position model. The record is from RNAcentral.
CCUACGGGUGGCAGCAGUGAGGAAUAUUGGUCAAUGGACGCAAGUCUGAACCAGCCAUGCCGCGUGCAGGAAGACGGUCCUAUGAGUUGUAAACUGCUUUUGUACGAGGGUAAACGCAGAUACGCGUGUCUGUCUGAAAGUACCGUACGUAUAAGGAUCGGCUAACCUCGUGCCAGCCGCCGAGGUAAUACGGAGGAUUCAAGCGUGACUCGGAUUGAGUGGGUUUAAAGGGUGGGUAGGCGGUCAGAUAAGUUAGUGGUGAAAUCCCUGGGCUCAACCUCGGAAUUGCCUUUGAUACUGGUAGGCUAGAGUGUAGGUGCGGUAGGUGGAAUGAAUGGUGGAGCGGUGAAAUGCUUAGAGAUCAUACAGAACACCGAUUGCGAAGGCAGCUUACCAAGCUGCAACUGACGUUGAGGCACGAAAGCGUGGGGAGCAAACAGGAUUAGAUACCCCUGUAGUC